GGAAGUGGCCGUAGCUCAUUGGUAGAGCAUGUGCUCUGUGCGCAAAAGGCCACAGUUUCAAUUUCUGGCAUCUCUA
This is a non-coding RNA of Podarcis lilfordi (Lilford's wall lizard), 76 nucleotides long. The record is from the annotation of a GenBank genome assembly. Lineage: Eukaryota; Metazoa; Chordata; Lepidosauria; Squamata; Lacertidae.